AGGAGAGGACGGAAUAGAUACAGAGAGGGAGACACCGGCAGCCGACGUCAAAAACGGAGGAUUGAAAAAGAGGGUCGCGCGGGAGAAAAUAAACGAUAACAGUGCUUACUACAAUAAUAAUAAUUUAGGUUAUUAAUUACUCUAAAGUAAAGAACAACUAAACUGAAGAAAACAACAAAAAUAUUGUUGAGACGCGAUAACAAUAGUAAGCCACAGUGACACUGUGUCACGCAAAUAUUUAAUGUAGAAAAUCAAGUUGAAUCAACAGUAUCUGUAGGAGGGAAAGAGUAACCGAGGAAAUUUACGAGAGAAAGGCACGACUGAGAAGAGUGACAGACACAUCCCGAAGAAGAGGAGAGCCGGUUACACGAUUUUUUAUCGGGCUCGAGUGAUCUCUUGCCAAGAAAAAAAUUAACUGGAGCCCACCGUUUAUAACCGAUUUAAACUGGGAGUAGGAAGCACAAAGGGUAGAAGGACCUCGACUGAAGAAUUGGAGAAACAUACAGAAGGAACGACAAAUAAAGGAAAAACAAAGAAAAUAGAUAAGCUACGCCAAAUAGUGGGUUUGGGACAUAUACAUAUUUGCAAUUUUCUUCUGAAAUUUGUCCAGGUUGGUUCUGGUAUUAGCCUAUGUGAUCCUUCGCACGUAACAUUUCUACAUAUGUAUGUAGUUACAACGUUAACCUAACCGGACAAAGAGAAGCGCCAUACAUUGACAUAGGCUACGGUCCCUCUACACCUACAGCUGGUUAAACAAAGGAAACCUACAGAAACACUGUUACUGUUGGUUUGCAUGAAUCAUUUUCGGUUGAAGAAGGGCACUGAAGAAUAUCGUAACUAGAAGUCCCCGAGUCCUCCUCACUCCCCGCGCAGCGGUCUAGUGUCGAUCCCCGGGGCGCGUCGGUCGCUCUCCCCGCACCGUCUCAAUGAAGGAGGCCGACGCUAUUAAACUGUUUAUCGGCCAGAUUCCUCGGAAUCUGGAAGAAAAGGACCUGAAACCCAUCUUCGAGCAGUUCGGGAAGAUCUAUGAGCUGACGGUGAUAAAGGACAAAUAUACCGGGAUGCACAAAGGAUGUGCCUUCCUGACGUACUGUGCGCGGGAGUCUGCCCUCAAAGCCCAGAGUGCCCUGCACGAGCAGAAGACCCUCCCGGGGAUGAACCGCCCCAUCCAGGUGAAGCCCGCGGACAGCGAGGGCCGAGGAGAAGACAGGAAGCUGUUUGUGGGCAUGCUGGGGAAGCAGCAGUCGGACGAGGACGUGAGGAAGAUGUUCGAGCCCUUCGGGAGCAUCGAUGAGUGCACGGUGCUGCGGGGCCCAGACGGAACCAGCAAAGGUUGCGCCUUUGUGAAAUUCCAGAGCCACGCAGAGGCGCAGGCCGCCAUCAACACACUGCACGGGAGCCGCACCCUGCCGGGUGCUUCCUCCAGUCUGGUCGUGAAGUUUGCCGACACCGAGAAGGAGCGGGGACUGCGGCGCAUGCAGCAGGUGGCCUCCCAGCUGGGCAUCUUCAGUCCCAUGACCUUGAACUUCGGAGCUUACAACGCCUACACACAGGCUGUGAGUGUUGUGCCGAGGAGUCUACGAUUGGUCCAACAGCAGGCCCUGGUUGCACAGUCAGCGUACUUGUCGCCCGUGGCAACAGUUGCCGCGGUGCAGAUGCAGCAGAUGGCUGCACUCAAUGCCAAUGGCAUCAUUGCCACGCCCAUCACACCCAUCACCCCCUCUUCGGAUUCUAGUAGCUGUCAAUCACAAUCUCUCCUGCACUGUGAUUGGUCCUCCUGGUUUGCAGGUACAAAUACCCCCCCAACAAUCGCAGCCACACCUGUGCCAGCACUACCUCCGCCAAUUGGAGUCAACGGGUAUAGCCCUGUGCAAGCCCCUGCCAAUGGACAGCCAGCGUCCGAAACACUGUACACCAAUGGUGUUCAUCCGUACCAAGCCCAGAGUCCAGCUGCAGCCUUGGACCCCCUUCAGCAAGCUUAUGCAGGCAUGCAACACUAUACAGCGGCGUACCCUGCUGCGUAUGGAUUAGUUGGCCAGCCGUUCCCACAGCAACCCACCCUGGUUGCCCAGCAACACCAGCAGCCCCAGCAACAGCAACAGCGCGAAGGUCCUGAGGGAUGUAAUAUCUUCAUCUACCACCUGCCCCAGGAGUUCACUGACUCGGAGAUGCUGCAGAUGUUCCUGCCCUUUGGCAACGUCAUCUCCGCCAAGGUCUUUGUUGACCGCGCCACCAACCAGAGCAAGUGUUUUGGCUUUGUGAGCUUCGACAACCCCGCCAGCGCCCAGACGGCCAUCCAGGCCAUGAACGGCUUCCAGAUCGGCAUGAAGCGGCUGAAGGUGCAGCUGAAGAGGCCCAAGGACGCCAACCGGCCGUACUGAGGCUCCGGGGGGAGCCGGAGAGAGAUCCUCCUGUCCAAUCAUAAAUUGUGAAGACUCCGUCGCUAUGGCUAUGGUUACCUAGCAACCGAUAAAGCCCUGCCCCCCCUUCCUCUCACGUUGUUGUGAAGAUUCAGUAGAUGCCUGUGGAGAGUUUCCAGUGAAUGCUGCCUCAGACUGCGGUGUCUGUUAAGCAUCAGGACGUCCUAUCUAAAGUCACAACUGCACAAUCACACGUCAGACACACGACUCCAUGCUCAGCAUAUUUAUCAAUAUGUACGGACCAAUGUAAAAAGAAAAAAAAAGACACAUAUCCAGUGGAAAACACAAA
Anguilla rostrata (American eel) is the source of this 2709-nucleotide RNA transcript. It is a transcript of the gene named CUGBP Elav-like family member 3, with no coding region annotated. The transcript has 15 exons. The record is from RefSeq and is a predicted model, not a curated record. NCBI's taxonomy places the organism in Eukaryota, Metazoa, Chordata, Actinopteri, Anguilliformes, Anguillidae.